RNAcentral lists this ribosomal RNA (465 nucleotides) under uncultured bacterium. Its description in RNAcentral is "partial 16S ribosomal RNA". It matches the Rfam family "Bacterial small subunit ribosomal RNA", at positions 28 to 507 of the family's 1533-position model. The record is from RNAcentral.
GACGAACGCUGGCGGCGUGCUUAACACAUGCAAGUCGUACGGUAAGGCCCUUUCGGGGGUACACGAGUGGCGAACGGGUGAGUAACACGUGAGUAACCUGCCCACAACUUUGGGAUAACGCUAGGAAACUGGUGCUAAUACUGGAUAUGUGCUCCUGCUGCAUGGUGGGGGUUGGAAAGCUCCGGCGGUUGUGGAUGGACUCGCGGCCUAUCAGCUUGUUGGUGGGGUAGUGGCCUACCAAGGCGGCGAGGGGUAGCCGGCCUGAGGGGGUGAGCGGCCACACAGGGUCUGAGGGACGGCCCAGGCGCCGACGGGAGGAAGCAGGGGGGAAGAUUGCACCAGGCGCGCCAGCCUGGUGCAGCAGCGCCGCGGGCGGGAAGACGGUCUUGGGGUUGAAAAACGGUUUCAGCAGAGACCAAGCUUUUUGUGACGGUACCUGCAGAAGAAGCACCGGCUAACUACGUG